GACGAAGGGGGCAAGCGUUGUCCGGAUUUAUUGGGCGUAAAGAGCGUGUAGGCGGCUAGGUAGGUCCGUUGUGAAAACUCGAGGCUCAACCUCGAGACGCCGAUGGAAACCAUCUGGCUAGAGUCCGGAAGAGGAGAGUGGAAUUCCUGGUGUAGCGGUGAAAUGCGCAGAUAUCAGGAAGAACACCCGUGGCGAAGGCGGCUCUCUGGGACGGUACUGACGCUGAGACGCGAAAGCGUGGGGAGCGAACAGG
RNAcentral lists this ribosomal RNA (253 nucleotides) under uncultured bacterium. RNAcentral's name for it is "partial 16S ribosomal RNA". It matches the Rfam family "Bacterial small subunit ribosomal RNA", at positions 524 to 776 of the family's 1533-position model. The record is from RNAcentral.